This is a non-coding RNA of Neoarius graeffei (lesser salmon catfish), 73 nucleotides long. The record is from the annotation of a RefSeq genome assembly. NCBI's taxonomy places the organism in Eukaryota, Metazoa, Chordata, Actinopteri, Siluriformes, Ariidae.
GGCUCCAUAGCUCAGUGGUAAGUGUGCUGGUCUAAUAAACCAGAGGUUAUGAGUUCAAUCCUCAUUGGGGCCU